RNAcentral lists this transfer RNA (75 nucleotides) under Micromonospora olivasterospora. RNAcentral's name for it is "tRNA-Pro". It matches the Rfam family "tRNA". From Rfam's summary of the family: Transfer RNA (tRNA) molecules are approximately 80 nucleotides in length. Their secondary structure includes four short double-helical elements and three loops (D, anti-codon, and T loops). Lineage: Bacteria; Bacillati; Actinomycetota; Actinomycetes; Micromonosporales; Micromonosporaceae. RNAcentral also lists the same sequence under 18 other names. The record is from RNAcentral.
CGGGACGUGGCGCAGCUUGGUAGCGCACUUGACUGGGGGUCAAGGGGUCGUCGGUUCGAAUCCGGCCGUCCCGAC